GGAUGAUGCAGAAGCUUGAUGCCAUGCAGCAGUUGGAACGUGAGCUUGAGGUCAUCUGUGGCUUUGAUUAUCGGGAAGUUAUGUUACUCCUCGUGAAGAACUACGUUUGGAGGAUCAAGCAGGCAAAGAUGCCAAAGAGAAAUCUGAUGCUGCUACCGAAGCACUUUUUGCGGAGCUUGAGCUUGAAGCCAAAAGCAAUGUCAACAAAGGAGUAGGUGAUGAUUCAAAACAGAUACAGGCAAAGUCAAAGAAAAAAAAGAAGAAGAAGGAUUAUAGAAGAGCUAAGAAUCCAGAGGGCGUUGGUCGUGACAAAGAGACUGUCAUUCAUCAGGAAACUGAAGACAAA
This is a long non-coding RNA of Magnolia sinica, 346 nucleotides long. RefSeq lists it as uncharacterized. The record is from RefSeq and is a predicted model, not a curated record. NCBI's taxonomy places the organism in Eukaryota, Viridiplantae, Streptophyta, Magnoliopsida, Magnoliales, Magnoliaceae. The transcript is spliced from 3 exons.